The sequence is a regulatory RNA element, 41 nucleotides long. It matches the Rfam family "Human immunodeficiency virus type 1 dimerisation initiation site". From Rfam's summary of the family: This cis element is composed of four hairpins called SL1 to SL4 (SL is for Stem Loop). The record is from Rfam.
GGACUCGGCUUGCUGAAGUGCAACACGGCAAGAGGCGAGAG